GCAACCUGUUCUACAAAGCAAGACCCUGCCUCAACACCCAUGACAACAACAAAACAACAAAUAAAGUAGAAUAAGGUGGAGACAGCCAGUUGUAGAAUACACACUCUCGGAGGCUGAGGCAGGAGGGUGGCAAAGUGGAGCCUGGCCUGGACAACUCAGAAACUUAGCAAGAGCCUAUAUUAAGAUUAAAAAUAAAGUGCUGGGGAUGUAGCUCACUGUGGAGGCCCUGGGUUCAAUCCCCAGUGAUUUAGAAAAAUAAAGGAGCAGUCAAAGGUGAUCAAACAUAGAUAUAGUCAGAGACCCAGCAGAGCUGGCUGUGUGGGGGGCAGAGGCCGGUCAUGGGGCCUGCUCAUCCUGAGUGUGGGUGGACUUGGGGCCAGGCACACCAAAGGCCAGGACUGAUCUCUAUUUCCUUCCUUCCUUCCUUCCCUUUUUUCCUUUGAGAUGCUAGGGACAGAACCCAGGGCUUCCUGUGUGGCGGGCAGAUGUUCUGAGCUGCCCCUGCUCCAGUCCUUGUUUUUAGGUCUGGCUUAGUGGCCCAGGCUGGCCUUGAACUUGCAACCUUCCUGCCUCAGCCUCCUGAGUAGCCAUGAUUGCAGGCACACACACACCCACCCCCUACGUCCAGCUAUGCUUAUUUAUUUCAAAGGCCUGGAAGCUUGGGGAGGCCAUGGAGGUCGGAGAUGUGGGCUGUCUCCUUGGGGACCUGGCCUCCAGCACCUUUGGAGGGGGACAGUCACUGGGGACCCCAGGCAGAACCCCCAGGGUGGGGCCAUCUCAGGGACAGCCCCGCAGGCUGGCCAGAGCCCCCGAGCCGGGCUCCCUGUGGUUGCAAGGAGAGCAGGGGCAAGAUCUGAACAACGGCUGUGUGCUGGAGGUCAAGAGGGCUGAGCGGCAGCGGCAGGGUUGGUGCCGAGGAGUUCGCUUUGUCUUCGACGGGAAGGAGCUGGCCUUCCGGGUGAGGGUGAGGCUGGGCCCGCGGCGGCCCCUGGGGACAGGGCUGGGGCUCGUGGGUGCCUCAGCUCCCCUCUGGCCCCACAGACCGUCCCGCCCGUGGUGGUGACCUCCCACGGCAGCCAGGACCACAAGCCAUGAGUAACUGUCCUCGACCCCAGGGCUGGGUCUGCACCCUGCCAGCCCACUCUUGCCCCCUGCCUUAGUCCCCUCUGCUUCCGCCUCCUUUCUGGGGGCUCUGGGUCCUCCCCGUCUCCUGACCGCACGUGUGCAUGGACACGUCCAGUGCCCUCAGCCGCCCACUGUCGCCCCGCAGGGCCUGUCCGUGUCCUGGUCACAGUUCAGCAGGGUGUGGGCCCCUGAGACCUGUUCCUCUCCCAGGCCCAGGCUGGGGUCACAGCCUCCGCCUCCCAUGGUGGGACAGAUGGGACCAGACCCCAAGACACACAGCAGGGGCACGCCAGGCCAGGACGACUGAAGGGACCUGGGCCUGAACCAGUUUGUAAUUAGCAGCCCCUCUGCCUCUGUUUCCCCACCUUUCGGGUGAAGACAUGAGGCAGAAAUGACUUUAGAGGUCCAGCCAGCCUGGAUCACUCUUUAGAGCUCCCCUCCCAGGCUGGGUGAGGUGGUGCACACCUGUAAUCCCAGCAAUUUGGGAGGCUGAGGCAGGAGGAUCACACAUUUACAGCUCGCCUGGGCAACUUAGUGAGAUUUUCUUUCCAAGUAAACAACAAAAGCCCCAGGGUGGCGCUCACUCCUGGCUCCUCGGAGCCUGCUGAGGACUCUCAAGCCACACUGGAACGACAGCACCAUCCUGGGCUUGGUGAGUAGGCAGCGGGCGCACAGCCCGCCCAACGGCACCUUCCUGCUGCGCUUCAGCGACUCGGAGAUGGGCAUCCUCACCAUCGCCUGGAAGUCGACUCCUGAGUGGUGGGUUUGUGUCUCUCCAACCCCCGCCCACCCUGCAGUCGACCGCACCCCCUGGAAGGGACCUCAAGCCCUGCACCGCGACAUGGGCUGCCUCUGUGUGCUCCCCGACUGGCCCAAGGACAAGGCCUUCUCCAGCUAACGCCGUGGACGGCUACGUGAAGCCACAGAUCAAGUAGGCGGUCCCCAAACGAGUGUCCAGCCCCCACCCUGUCCCCGCCGUCCCCGACCCAGCCCCAACCCCAUUCUGGACCAGGAUGGACACUUCAAGCUGGACAAGACCGUGGACGUGGCCCAGCACGUGGAGGCGCUCCUGUGCCGGCCGCGGCUGCCUGGACAUGUGCCUCUCCCCCCCGCAGGGCUCUUCUCCCCGGCCACGGCGCCCUGUCCUGAGCCAGCCCGGCUCCUCCCCGGACAGGGCACACAGGAGCGGUCGUGGCACUGCUGUGCACACUGGUGCCUUCGCAGGCCGUGUGGACACUCCGUGGGCCUGGGCACAUGGCUACAGCAGCGGUGGCCCUAGGAACCAUGGGUGCUGCUGGGGCAGAGACAAUCUGUCCUUAAGGGCCCAGGCCACGGCCCGGCAGACUGAGCUCCAGGCCCUGGGCACAGCGGCCCUGCAGGGGCUGUUUCCACGCCCAUCCCUGUCCCGCUGAUGGCGCCUCUGCACCGCCCCCUCGCCUCUCGUGCUGCCUGGCUUCCCCGUGCGACCUGGCUUUUGAGAAAGGGAGGCGCACAGGGUGGGACCUCUGUGACCGCUGUGACCUGAGCAGCUGUGGCCGGGAGGCCACGAUGCCCCCCAGGUGAGUGACAGCUGUCAGAGCUGAGGGUGACAGAUCGGAGCCUGGCUUCUGACUUCUCCGUAGGGAGUGGAGCCGGAGGAUUCCUCAGUACAUUGCACACGGACCACACCUGUGU
Molecule: RNA transcript, 2799 nt
Organism: Fukomys damarensis (Damara mole-rat)
Lineage: Eukaryota; Metazoa; Chordata; Mammalia; Rodentia; Bathyergidae
Gene name: signal transducer and activator of transcription 5A
Exons: 3
Source: RefSeq, a predicted model, not a curated record